This 592-nucleotide ribosomal RNA is filed under the name Bacillus sp. KF-71. RNAcentral describes it as "bacterial SSU rRNA". It matches the Rfam family "Bacterial small subunit ribosomal RNA", at positions 73 to 648 of the family's 1533-position model. Lineage: Bacteria; Bacillati; Bacillota; Bacilli; Caryophanales; Bacillaceae. The record is from RNAcentral.
UAAGAGCUUGCUCUUAUGAAGUUAGCGGCGGACGGGUGAGUAACACGUGGGUAACCUACCCAUAAGACUGGGAUAACUCCGGGAAACCGGGGCUAAUACCGGAUAAUAUUUUGAACUGCAUAGUUCGAAAUUGAAAGGCGGCUUCGGCUGUCACUUAUGGAUGGACCCGCGUCGCAUUAGCUAGUUGGUGAGGUAACGGCUCACCAAGGCGACGAUGCGUAGCCGACCUGAGAGGGUGAUCGGCCACACUGGGACUGAGACACGGCCCAGACUCCUACGGGAGGCAGCAGUAGGGAAUCUUCCGCAAUGGACGAAAGUCUGACGGAGCAACGCCGCGUGAGUGAUGAAGGCUUUCGGGUCGUAAAACUCUGUUGUUAGGGAAGAACAAGUGCUAGUUGAAUAAGCUGGCACCUUGACGGUACCUAACCAGAAAGCCACGGCUAACUACGUGCCAGCAGCCGCGGUAAUACGUAGGUGGCAAGCGUUAUCCGGAAUUAUUGGGCGUAAAGCGCGCGCAGGUGGUUUCUUAAGUCUGAUGUGAAAGCCCACGGCUCAACCGUGGAGGGUCAUUGGAAACUGGGAGACUUGAGUG